Non-coding RNA from Caenorhabditis elegans, 21 nucleotides. Lineage: Eukaryota; Metazoa; Nematoda; Chromadorea; Rhabditida; Rhabditidae. The record is from Ensembl.
UAAUUCGUCCUUCAUGGCUGG